RNAcentral lists this small RNA (123 nucleotides) under Marmota monax (woodchuck). Lineage: Eukaryota; Metazoa; Chordata; Mammalia; Rodentia; Sciuridae. The record is from RNAcentral.
GCUGGGAGUGGUGGCGCACGCCUGUAAUCCCAGCUGCUUGGGAGGCUGAGGCAGGAGGAUCUCGAGUUCAAAGUCAGCCUCUGCAAUGGUGAGGCUAAGCAACUCAGUGAGACCCUGUCUCUA